AAGUCGUAACAAGGUUUCCGUAGGUGAACCUGCGGAAGGAUCAUUAUCACGUUUUCUCCAAACGUAUUCGACAACGCGUUAUGUUAUUUUAUCUCCCGUGUGAACUACAUGUAUCGGCCUUACACGCUAACUGAGGGUAUGGGAUGGGUUUAGUCGAGAGGCUAUCCGAACUCAGACGUGGACAUUACGAUAGUAGUAGGGACGCGGCUAGCUGUGAAUGAGUAGGCCCCUCUAUCCCAGGGUCAAAAGUUUGCGGCACCCCAUUUUCUUUAACAAUUUUCACCCCUUUUUUGCUAGUUGACUUUAUCUGCUCGUACACUCUCUUCAUUGAGAGGUGCAGCACGUUUAAUUUCUUAAUUGAACGUUAAAAUACAAUACAACUCUUAGCAAUGGAUAUCUUGGUUCUC
RNAcentral lists this unclassified non-coding RNA (407 nucleotides) under fungal sp. Its description in RNAcentral is "partial internal transcribed spacer region". The stretch from base 1 to 46 matches the Rfam family "Eukaryotic small subunit ribosomal RNA", at positions 1786 to 1831 of the family's 1831-position model. Lineage: Eukaryota; Fungi. The record is from RNAcentral.